This 476-nucleotide ribosomal RNA is filed under the name uncultured bacterium. RNAcentral's name for it is "partial 16S ribosomal RNA". It matches the Rfam family "Bacterial small subunit ribosomal RNA", at positions 29 to 507 of the family's 1533-position model. The record is from RNAcentral.
AUGAACGCUGGCGGCGUGCCUAACCCAUGCAAGUCGAACGAAGCACCUUACCUGAUUCUUCGGAUGAACGUUUGGUGACUGAGUGGCGGACGGGUGAGUAACGCGUGGGUAACCUGCCCUGUACAGGGGGAUAACAGCUGGAAACGGCUGCUAAUAACGCAUAAGCGCACGAGGAGACAUCUCCUUGUGUGAAAAACUCCGGUGGUACAGGAUGGGCCCGCGUCUGAUUAGCUGGUUGGCAGGGUAACGGCCUACCAAGGCAACGAUCAGUAGCCGGUCUGAGAGGAUGAACGGCCACAUUGGAACUGAGACACGGUCCAAACUCCUACGGGAGGCAGCAGUGGGGAAUAUUGCACAAUGGGGGAAACCCUGAUGCAGCAACGCCGCGUGAGUGAAGAAGUAUUUCGGUAUGUAAAGCUCUAUCAGCAGGGAAGAUAAUGACGGUACCUGACGAAGAAGCGCCGGCUAAAUACGUG